AUACGUAGGGGGCGAGCGUUGUCCGGAAUGAUUGGGCGUAAAGGGCGCGUAGGCGGCUUUGCAAGUCAGUAGUGGAAGUCCAUUUUUCAAGGAUGGAAGUGCUACAGAAACUGCGGAGCUUGAGUGCAGGAGAGGUUAUCGGAAUUCCCGGUGUAGCGGUGAAAUGCGUAGAGAUCGGGAGGAAACCAGUGGCGAAGGCGGGUAACUGGACUGCAACUGACGCUGAGGCGCGAAAGUGUGGGGAGCAAACAGGAUUAGAUACCCUGGUAGUCCACACUGUAAACGAUGAAUGCUAGGUGUAGGAGGUAUCGACCCCUUCUGUGCCGCAGUAAACACAGUAAGCAUUCCGCCUGGGGAGUACGGUCGCAAGGUUGAAACUCAAAUGAAUUGACGGGG
This 396-nucleotide ribosomal RNA is filed under the name uncultured bacterium. RNAcentral's name for it is "partial 16S ribosomal RNA". It matches the Rfam family "Bacterial small subunit ribosomal RNA", at positions 523 to 918 of the family's 1533-position model. The record is from RNAcentral.